Molecule: ribosomal RNA, 1699 nt
Organism: Metarhizium album ARSEF 1941
Lineage: Eukaryota; Fungi; Ascomycota; Sordariomycetes; Hypocreales; Clavicipitaceae
Rfam family: Bacterial small subunit ribosomal RNA
Source: Rfam
UUUUUAUUGAGUUUGAUGAUGGCUCUGAUUGAACGCUGUCCAAAGUAUCGACACAUGCUAAUCGUACGUCAUUUUAUUGCUAUACUUUUCGAUUUAUAUCAUAAAUCAAGCGUAGUAAUAAAAAUGAAGUGGUGUAAAGGUGAGUAUAUAAUAUUUUACGUCUACCUUAAAGUAGGGAAGAAAAUUCCUUAUAAAGUAUAUGAUACUGAUUUAAGUUGAUUAUACAAAAGAAAAAAGUUUUUCGCUUUAAGAUGCUCAAAAUAUUUUCGAGUAAGUAGUAGUUAAGGUAACGACUUAACUAGCUUUACCUCGUAGUCGAAACUGAGAGGUUGAUCGACCACAUUGGGUCUGAAAAAACCCCAAUACGUCUAGUACAGCAGUGAGGAAUAUUGGUCAAUGGCCUAACGGCCGAACCAGCAAUUUGGGGGAAUGCGAUAUUUAGUUUUUUUAAUAUAUCGAAAUAAACGGCUAUGUCGUAUAAAGUUCUAGAUAGAUGAUUGAUAAUGACAGUUUUCUAUCUAUAUGUCUUGACCAAAUCUUGUGCCAGCAGUCGCGGCAAUACAAGUAAGACUAGUGUUAUUCAUCUUUAUUAGGUUUAAAGGGUACCUAGACAGUAUAUCUAGCCUCAAAAGGGAACAGAUUUACUAGAGUUUUAUGUGAGAGGAAAAUAUUAGAACCAUUGGAGUAGUGAUAGAAUAUUUUGAUACUAAUGGGACGGAUAACGGCGAAGGCAAACCUCUAUGUAAUAACUGACGUUGAGGGACGAAGGCUUGGGGAGCGAAUAGGAUUAGAUACCCUAGUAGUCCAAGCAGAGAAUUAUGAAUGUUAUAUAUUAAAAUUUUUAGUGUAUAAAUGAAAGUGUAAGCAUUCCACCUCAAGAGUAAUGCGGCAACGCAGGAACUGAAAUCACUAGACCGUUUCUGACACCAGUAGUGAAGUAUGUUGUUUAAUUCGAUGAUCCACGAUUAGACCGUUUCUGAAACCAGUAGUGAAGUAUGUUAUUUAAUUCGAUGACCCUCGAAAAACCUUACCACAAUUUGAAUAUUUUACAGGAGUUGCACGGCUGUUUUCAGUUAAUGUUGUGAAGGGUUCUUCCUACCCCCUAUCAAUUAGCCAGUAUAUUUAUAUGGUUAAUACCUAAAAAAGAUAGAUAAGAUAAAUAAUACAAGUGUUGCACGGCUGUCUAAAGUUAAUGUCGUGAGACUUUGGUUAGAUCCAUUAAAUUAACGUAAACCCUUGCUUUAUUUUAUUAUAUAAAGCAGUUCACCAAUUCAUUGGAUAUGAUAACAGGGAUGAAGACAAGUCAUCAUGACCUUAAUAUUGUGGGCUAUAGACGUGCCACAUAUGUUUGUACAAAAGGAGGCGAAAGUGUGAACUUUAGCUAAUCCUUAAAACAGAAUAAAACAUGGAUUGUAGUCUGAAAUUCGACUGCAUCAAUAAGGAAUUACUAGUAAUCGUGAGUCACCACAUCACGGUGAAUUUAAUCUCAGAUAGGUACUAACCACUCGUCAGGCGCUGAAAGGAGUAUGCGCAAUAAGUUUGGCUAUUUAAUAAUUUUUCCUAUUAAUAAUUAGUUAAUAUUUAGAACUAACCCUUCUAUAAGAUACUUUGUUGGAUAGUUUUCGUAUGCGUGACUUUGAUUGGUGUUAAGUCGAAAUACGGUUCGUGUAGUGGAAAUUGCACGGGAUUAAUUAACAUU